UACAAGCCCAUGUAAGAGCCUAUCAUUGAAUCUGUUAGACUGAAGUCGCCAUAGGUAAAUAUGCUACCUCAACAACAUCAAAAGGAAUUGUGGUAGCACUGUAUUUGACCCUGUCACCUUUUAAAUAGGAACUAUCAGCGAACUGCAGAAGUCAGCACUACCCAAAGGAAUUUCCUGCAGAUCACCAUGACGGUGAGUCAGCAUUCAGCAGUCAUGAGAGAUCUUGUUGGUGACAGAGGGGAGAAGAAUAGCAAGGUUAAGGUUAUUACACUGUAAAAGAGUCACUGAGGGGCAGCUAAGAAAAGGACCUCAUAGGAGGUGAGUUGUCUGGCUGAAAAGUGUUGAGUGUGAUGAAAAUUUGGAAUAGCUUCUACUGUAUGCGGUACAAAAAGAGUUAAAUGAGAUCCCACUAUAAUUUUUUUUCUUUGGUUGUUUUAACCAAAAGGGCAGUGACUGUAAUGGCUCUAAGGCAAAAGAUGAACCCAUACCACAGGGUCCAUCCAGUUGCUGGCUAUAGUAUGGUCUGGGUCAAUAGUUGUCCCUGUGUUUUUAGGUGAGUACCCCAAGUUAAUUCCCUUCCUUUUUAUAUAUAAAAAGGAAAAGGGGAAUCUAAUAAUUGGGAUGCCCAAGGGCAGGUGGGUACAUCAAACUUUCCUUAAGCCUUGAAAACUGUGUUGUCUGGUUCUUCUCAUAAAAUUGGGUUGAAGUUGUUAUUGUUUCAUAAAACACACAGAGGUUUGGCCACAUGAAAAAGUUUGGAAUCGAAUUUCAGCAGUUAUCAACUAGGCUAAGAAGAUCUAAUUAUUAGUACUUAGUUUUGGCUUUGGGAAACUUACGGCAUCAUGAAGUCUCUUUGGAUCUAGGUGUAGCCUUUGUUUUAAUAUCAGUUCUUAUAAAUACCAAACUUAGAUUUGGGUUCACUGUAAUUUUUCUUUGGUAAUCUGAUGUCCCUUUAAGGCUAAAAGCCUUAGCAAGUAGAUGCUGGCAAAUCAUCCACAUAUUGCAACAAAGUAGAACCUCUAGGGAACUUUUAUAUCAUCCAGGUCAGCCUUCCAGAAUUGUGGGACUUAAGAAGGACAGACUCUCAGGAAAACCCUGAAGCAUUACUAUCUGGGUAAAUUGUUUCCUCCUGUGUGAAGGAAAAAAGGUAUUUAUUGGCCAGCUUCAUCAAGUGGAAUACUAAAGAAUGCACUGCAUAAAUCAACUACAGUAAAAAAUCUGUUUCCUGUGGGGAUAUUAGUAAUAUAUGAGAAUUAGGAACAAUAGGGUGUCAAAGGAUAGCGAUGUUGUUUAUUGAUGGAAGAUCCUGGGCAAACCCCCACCCUUGGCCCUUAGGUUUUCUCAUUGGUCAAAUAAGAUUACAGUAUAAGGAAUCAUGAGGUCUUGACACUUGUAAUCUUCUAUUAUGGGCUUUAUGCCUUGAAAGUCUUCUUUACUUACAUAAAAUUGAUUCAUUCUGGGAAGAGUUUUUGAAGGGUCUAUUUGAAUCAGUGAGAAAUAUGCUUUAAAUUUUGCCAAUAUCAGUUGGAGAUUUUUUUGCCCAUAAAGAAGGUAGUUGCUGAUUCAAUAGGAGCAAGGCCACAGACUUUUUCAGCCAGUUCCCAGAGUAUUCCAGAGGCUGAACUGGAGCAGUUUCUGUAAAGCAACCCUUGCUUUUGAAGAAAUGGGAGAAUGUUUCGCUACUUUUCAAAAGGAACAACCCCUCCUCCUCUAAAAAGGGGCUAAAGACUAGCAAGCUUCUAUUGAAACAGUCUAUCUCAAAAUUAGAUCAAAAUACCAAACAAAUACUUACCUACAAAAUAAGGCCUUAACAGGAGAUGGGAUUAAGAUGGCCAAAUAGAAGGACUGGAGCUCAACUUCUCUCCUAAAAACAACAAAAUUUACAACCAAAUGCUGAGCAAUCUUCAACCAAAUGGACUGGAAACCUUCAAAAAGAUAUCCUACUCCAGAAGACAAAGAGGAGGCCACAUCAAGAGGUAGGAGGGGUGAUUAUGCAAUAUAAGCAACCCCAUACCUCCCCCCCACAGACUGGAAACUAACUCCUUCACAGAGACUCACCUACAGGAGUGAGAGUUCUGAGCCCCAUGUCAAAUCCUGACUCCUGGAGAUCUGGCACUGGGAGAAAGAGCCCCCAGAGGAUCUGGCAUUGAAGGCCAGUGGGGUGGUGUGCAGGAGCUCGACAGGACUGGGGGAAACAGAGACCCCAUUCUUAAAAGGCACACACAGGCUUUCAUAUGCACUGGGCCCCAGGGCAAAGCAAAGUCUCCAUAGGAAUCUGGGGCAAACCUGACUAUAGUUCUUGGAGAACCUCCAGGGAAAACAAGGAUGAAUGUGGCUUAUUGUCGGGGAAGGACAUUGGAAGCAAACCCUCAGAAUAUUCAGCAGCCGUGCCUUUCUCUGGAGGUGGCCAUUAUGGGAAAAUCUGGCCCCACCCAUCAGCAAUGAGAAGCCCCAAGCCAAACAACAAUCCAAGUAGGAUCACUGCCCCCCCCACCUCAGGCACACAGCUGCCUCUAAUCCCAUCCAGAGACAAAGCCCCACCCACCAGAGGGAUAGGAAUCAGCUCCACCUACCAGUGGGCAGGCAACUGUCCCUCUCAUCAGGAAGCCUACAGCAAGCCCCCUGUACCAACUUCAGCCACAAGGGGGCAGACACCAGAAGUAAGAGAGGCUAUCACUCUAUUAUCUGUAAAAAGAUCACCACACCAAAAACCUAUAAAAAUGAAAAGACAGAGAACUAUAAUUCAGAUAAGGGAGAAAGAAAAAACCCCAGAAAAUCAGCUAGGUGAUCAAGAGAUUCUCAGCCUCCAGGAAAAAGACAUUAGACUGUUGAUGCUGAAGAUGAUGCAAGGCAUUGGAAAUAAACUGGAGGCAAAGAUGAUAACUUACAGGAAACACUGAGAAAAGAUAUAAAGAUAUAAAACUUAAGCAAGAAGAGAUGCAAAAUACAAUACCUGAAAUAAAAAAAAUCACUAGAAGCAGCUAACACCAGAAUACAGGAUACGGAAGAACAAAUAAGUGAGGUGAAGGACAGAUGAGUGGAAAUUACGCAUGCGUAAGAGAAAAGAGAAAAAAGAUGGAAAUCAAAUGAAGAGAGUCUCAAAGAACUCUGGGACAACAUUAAAUGCAUGAACAUCUGUAUUAUACGGUGCCAGAGGAGAAGAGAGAGAGAAGGGGACAGAAAAAAUACUCAAACAGAUGAUAGCCAAAAAACUUCCUAACAUGGGAAAGGAACCACUCACUCAAAUCCAGGAAGUGCAAUGAGUACCAUAUAAAAUAAACCCAAGGAGGAACACCCUGAGACACAUAUUAAUCAAAUUGACCAAAAUUAAAGACAAAGAGAAAAUAUUGAAAGCAGCUAGGGAAAAGAAAUCACAUACAAGGGAACCCCAAUAAGGUUAUUGGCAGAUAUUUCAGCAGAAACUCUGAACGCCAGAAGGCAGUGGUAUGAUAUACUUAACAUGAUGAGAGAAAAAAAACCUCCAACCAAGAUUAUCUUAGCCAGCAAGGAUCUCAUUCAGAUUUGAAGGAGAAAUCAAAAGCUUCACAGAUAAGCAAAAGCUAAGACAGUUCAACAACACUAAACCAGCUUUAUGACAACUACUAAGGGAACUUCUCUAGGCAGAAGAGAAAAGGCCACAACCAGAAACAAUACCACAAAUGACAAGGCUCACCAGCAAAGGUAUAUAUGCAGUAAAGAUAUGAAAUCAUCUGCACAUAAUUAUGCCACUGAAAUCAGAAAUCAUGAGAAGAGGUGGGUAUGAAUGCAGGACACUGGAGAUGAACUUGCAAUUAAGAGCCCAACAACUUAAAACAAUCUCAUAUAUAUAUAGACUCAUAUCAAAACUUCAGAAUAACUGCAAACCAAAAAUAUACGAUUGAUACACAAACAAAUAAGAAAAAUCAACUCAAAUACAACACUAAAGAUAGUCAUCAAACCACAAGAGGAGAGAACAAGAGGAGAAGGGAAGAAAAAAGAGCAACAAAAACAAAUCCAAAGCAAUUAAUAAAAUGGCAAUAAGAAAAUACAUAUCAAUAAUUACUUUCAGUGUUAAUGGACUAAAUGCUCCAACCAAAAGACACAGACUGGCUGAAUGGAUACAAAAACAAGACCCAUACCUAUGGUAUCGAGAAGAGACCCACUUCACUCCUAGGUACACAUACAAAUUGAAAGUGAGAGGAUGGAUGAAAAUAUUCCAAGCAAAUGGGAAUCGAAAGCUGGAGUAGCAAUACUCAUAACAGACGAAAUAGACUUUAAAAUGAAGAAUAUUUUAAUGGACAAGGAAGGUCACUACUUAAUGAUCAAAGAUUCAAUUCAGGAAGAAGAUAUAACAAUUUUAAAUAUCUACACACCCAACACAGGUUCACCACAAUAUAUAAGGCAACUGCUAACAACUGUAAAAGGACAAAUUGACAAUAACACAAUAAUGGUGGGGGAUUUUAACAUCCCACUUAUAGGAAUGGACAGAUCAUACAGACAGAGAAGCAGUAAGGAAACACAAGCCUUUAAUGAAGCAUUAAACCAGUUAGACUUGAGAUAUUUAUAGGACAUUCCAUCCAAAAGCAACAGAGUACACAUUCUUCUCAAGUGCACAUGGAAGAUUCUCUAAGAUUGGUCACAUCCUGGGCUACGAAGCAAAUCUCAGUAUCUUUAAGAAAACUGAAAUCAUAUCAAGUAUAUUUUCCGACCACAAUGCUGUACAACUGGACAUCAGCAACAAGAAAAAAAACUGCAAAAACCACAAACACGUGGAGACUCAACAACAUGCUACUAAACAACCAAUGGAUCACUGAAGAAAUCAAAGAGGAAAUUAAAAAACACCUAGAAGCAAAUGACAACAAAAAUACAACACUCCAAAACCUAUGGAAUGCAGCAAAAGCUGUUCUAAGAGGAAAGUUGAUAGGGAUAUAAGCCCACAUCUGUAAACAAGAAAAAGCUCAAACAAGCUAACUUUACAUCUAAAGCAGCUAGAGAGAGAACAGACAAGACCUAAAGUCAGCAGAAAGAAAGAAAUCAUAAAGAUCACAGCAGAAAUCAAUGACAUACAAACAAAGAAAACCAUAGAAAAGAUCACUGAAACUAAAAGCUGGUUCUUUGAAAAGAUCAAUAAAAUUGAUAAACCCUUAGCCAGACUUAUCAAGAAAAAAAGAGAGGACUCAAAUCAAUAAAAUU
Molecule: long non-coding RNA, 5172 nt
Filed under: Sus scrofa (pig)
Lineage: Eukaryota; Metazoa; Chordata; Mammalia; Artiodactyla; Suidae
Description: lncRNA (ENSSSCG00000061803.1)
Source: RNAcentral